CCUACGGGAUGCAGCAGUGAGGAAUAUUGGUCAAUGGACGCAAGUCUGAACCAGCCAUGCCGCGUGCAGGAAGACGGCUCUAUGAGUUGUAAACUGCUUUUGUACGAGGGUAAACGCAGAUACGUGUAUCGGUCUGAAAGUAGCGUACGAAUAAGGAUCGGCUAACUCCGUGCCAGCAGCCGCGGUAAUACGGAGGAUUCAAGCGUUAUCCGGAUUUAUUGGGUUGAAAGGGUGCGUAGGCGGUCGGAUAAGUUAGAGGUGAAAUCCCGAGGCUCAACUUCGGAAUUGCCUCUGAUACUGUUCGGCUAGAGCGUAGUUGCGGUAGGCGGAAUGUCUGGUGUUGCGGU
Molecule: ribosomal RNA, 347 nt
Filed under: uncultured bacterium
Lineage: Bacteria
Description: partial 16S ribosomal RNA
Rfam family: Bacterial small subunit ribosomal RNA
Source: RNAcentral